RNAcentral lists this small nucleolar RNA (126 nucleotides) under Mus pahari (shrew mouse). RNAcentral's name for it is "snoRNA (MGP_PahariEiJ_G0034209.1)". Lineage: Eukaryota; Metazoa; Chordata; Mammalia; Rodentia; Muridae. The record is from RNAcentral.
AACCUCUGGCACUGGGCCAAGAGACACCUUGUUGUAAGUAUUGUUCUUAUAUCAGUCAGGGGCAGAGCUGAUGGUGCUUGGGGUGUAGCAUGAAAGCCAGCACCGUCUUAUGCCUAGGACAUCCAA